Molecule: long non-coding RNA, 456 nt
Filed under: Bos taurus (domestic cattle)
Lineage: Eukaryota; Metazoa; Chordata; Mammalia; Artiodactyla; Bovidae
Description: long non-coding RNA NONBTAT001274
Source: RNAcentral
CUUUCAAGGUUUACAAAUAACAAAGGUGCACCUUGUAUUUAAAAUUGCCAUUAUAGAUGAGAGCGUGCAUGCACAGUCAUUUUUGUUUGAGUAAUAUUUUUAAUGUAAUAGAUUUUAAGAUGUGGUGAGGGAGGGAUCUGACAGAGAUGAAUGUGCCAAGCAAAACCACAACUGUGUAUCUUUUAAAGCACAUCAUGGCUUUAAGUACCAUGUUGUUAAGGAUUCUCAUGAAGUGCCAUAGACUGUACAUCAAAUUAGAGUAUUAUUUCUUCAGUGUUAUUGUUUUCAGAGCCACAUUUUGUUGCUUAUUUGCUAGUACUAAUCAGUCAAAGGGCACCAUUCUUUUUUUUUUGGAAACCAAAGCUGUCUCAGAAAUGGCCGAUUUAACUUUACAGUAACAGAAUAGACAGCACAACACAGACUCUCUCAAUACAGAUAAACUCACACAUACUGGAG